AACGAACGCUGGCGGCAUGCCUAACACAUGCAAGUCGUGCGAGAAUUGGGAGCUUGCUCCUGAGGAAAGCGGCGCACGGGUGAGUAACGCGUGGAUAACGUACCCAAGGGUUGGGAAUAACCUGCCGCAAGGCGGGCUAAUGCCCAAUAAGCUCAAGAGGAGCCUGCUCCUUUUGCGAAAAGCUGGCCACGGCGCCCAUGGAUCGGUCCGCGUCCUAUCAGCGAGUUGGCGGGGUAAAGGACCACCAAGGCUACGACGGGUAACUGGUCUUAGAGGACGACCAGUUACACUGGAACUGAGACACGGUCCAGACUCCUACGGGAGGCAGCAGUGGGGAAUAUUGGACAAUGGGCGAAAGCCUGAUCCGGCCAUGCCGCGUGUGUGAAGAAGGUCUUCGGAUUGUAAAGCACUUUAAGUUGGGAGGAAGGGCAGUAAGUUAAUACCUUGCUGUUUUGACGUUACCGACAGAAUAAGCACCGGCUAACUCUGUGCCAGCAGCCGCCGUAA
Molecule: ribosomal RNA, 507 nt
Filed under: uncultured bacterium
Lineage: Bacteria
Description: partial 16S ribosomal RNA
Rfam family: Bacterial small subunit ribosomal RNA
Source: RNAcentral